RNAcentral lists this unclassified non-coding RNA (380 nucleotides) under uncultured Actinomycetes bacterium. RNAcentral describes it as "uncultured actinobacterium contains 16S-23S intergenic spacer region". Lineage: Bacteria; Bacillati; Actinomycetota; Actinomycetes. The record is from RNAcentral.
UCCGAGUUGACCCCGGCAGUCUCUUAUGAGUCCCCACCAUAACGUGCUGGCAACAUAAGACGAGGGUUGCGCUCGUUGCGGGACUUAACCCAACAUCUCACGACACGAGCUGACGACAGCCAUGCACCACCUGUAUACGAGUGUCCAAAGAGACCCCCUAUCUCUAGGGAUGUCUAGUGCAUGUCAAGCCCAGGUAAGGUUCUUCGCGUUGCAUCGAAUUAAACCACAUGCUCCGCUGCUUGUGCGGGCCCCCGUCAAUUCCUUUGGGUUUUAGCCUUGCGGCCGUACUCCCCAGGCGGGGCGCUUAAUGCGUUAGCUACGGCACGGAUCCCGUGGAAGGAAACCCACACCUAGCGCCCACCGUUUACGGCGUGGACUAC